This 267-nucleotide ribosomal RNA is filed under the name uncultured bacterium. RNAcentral describes it as "partial 16S ribosomal RNA". It matches the Rfam family "Bacterial small subunit ribosomal RNA", at positions 1234 to 1500 of the family's 1533-position model. The record is from RNAcentral.
ACGGUACAACGAGUCGCAAGACCGCGAGGUUUAGCAAAUCUCUUAAAGCCGUUCUCAGUUCGGAUUGUAGGCUGCAACUCGCCUACAUGAAGUCGGAAUCGCUAGUAAUCGCGGAUCAGCAUGCCGCGGUGAAUACGUUCCCGGGCCUCGUACACACCGCCCGUCACACCAUGAGAGUUUGUAACACCCAAAGCCGGUGGGGUAACCUUUUGGAGCCAGCCGUCUAAGGUGGGACAGAUGAUUAGGGUGAAGUCGUAACAAGGUAGC